This is a long non-coding RNA of Magallana angulata, 1414 nucleotides long. RefSeq lists it as uncharacterized. The record is from RefSeq and is a predicted model, not a curated record. The transcript has 4 exons. NCBI's taxonomy places the organism in Eukaryota, Metazoa, Mollusca, Bivalvia, Ostreida, Ostreidae.
UGAGGGUGGCAUUGUGUAUAUGCAGUGAUAGUGACAUUGUGUAUUGGCAAUGAUAGUGACAUUGUGUACUGGCAAUGAUAGUGACAUUGUGUACUGGCAAUGAUAUUGACAUUGUGUAUUGGCAAUGAUAUUAACAUUGUGUAUUGGCAAUAAUAUUGACUUUGUGUACUGGCUAUGAUGUUGAUAUGUGUAUUUGUAAUGAUAGUGACAUUGUGUACUGGCAAUGAUAGUGACAUUGUGUAUUGGCAAUGAUAGUGAUAUUGUAUAUACUCAAUGAGGGUGGCAUUGCAUAUAUGCAGUGGUAAUGACUUUGUGUAUUGGCAAUGAUAGUGACAUUGUGUAUUUGCAAUGAUAGAGAGAUAUUGUGUAUUGGCAAUGAUAGUGAUAAUGUAUAGUUUUAAUGAUAGUGAUACUGUGUAUACUCAAUGAGAGUGACAUUGUGUAAUUAUGUACAGUUCUCCAGAGAUAUACAUUCAUCAAUGACCUCAACCUUCUACAUUUGGAUUGUCCUUGUACAGACCAUGCCAGCUUGGAGAUUUGGUUCAACACAUCAAUCCUAAUUUUUAAUGACAAGUAUUUCUGGUACUGUCAUUGGAAUGACUCAGUUGUUAUGCAGUGUAUGUAUCAGCAGGAUUAAUUUUCUUUAAACCUGAAUAGACUUUUGCGACAGAAUGUAGCAGUUUUCCUACAUUUUUUGCUUGUGAAUGCUCCAGAUGUUGAUAUCGGGCAGAGAUUGAACCAGAUUCAUGUGGGCAAGAAAGUCUUUGGAUAUCUUCAUUAUAUUUGUGCAAGCAUUAUUCCUCCGCCUUGAGUGGACUGUGGGCUGAGGGUGGCAGCCGAACAUAGGAGUAAGGGAGGCAGUUCCUGUGGAGUUCUUCAUGGGGGAUACACAUGGUGCUGUUUGGAAAGUGGCUUUGUUGGCUGAGAGAUGGCAUGGUACUUUACCCUAGUACAGUACAUUAUGAAGUAUACACCUGGUGCUGUAAUUUGUGCCACACACGUGCUGAGCUGUAUAACUUCCAGCAAGAUUACUAUUCAUCAAAGCUAAAAAGACUGUUUGGGAUGCAGGUUGCCGUUUUGACACAAUUCUCCAAUGGAAAUGCUACUACUUUUACUGACAUUUGGCAGAUAUAUUCCUCCAACCUGAGUGGAUGAUGGGCUGAGGUAUUCUUGGUGGACCAUUGAGAUGAAUUUCUGUCCAUCGACAAAGAUAUUCAUGACUUGUCUGUUGCGAUACAUGAAUGAAGUAGUAGUUUGUUGUGAUGUGUGACAUGUCUGGGAGCACCAAAAAUAUUUAUCCAACUUGAAUGGAUUCACAGUUGAAAAGUGCAGUUCUCAACAGUAAUGAGCGAACACAGCAAAACAUCACAGGAUGCAGAUUUCUCUGUAUUCUCGUAUCAAAUUUCCUCCUGAU